UGAUCUCUUAUGACCGUUGGAGACUUAAGGAGAGGAAAGGGAAUAUUCCUUAUGAGCUGGGUGGUCCAAAGAGAAAGGCUGGAAAGUAAAAGUGGCUUUACCUUUACAGCCUUAUCUCCACACUGUCUCAUCUUGGCCAUUGAUUCAAAAUGAGCCAAUCUCUCCCCUCCAUUCAAAUCAGGCGUGCCUCCCUUGCCAGCUUGCACCAGAACAUCCAAGACCAGCCUUCUCUCAUCCUAGCCAUCCAUUCUAUACUUUAAUUACAGCCUUAGGAUAUAGGUUUAUGAUCUGAGUGAUGUAAAGGCAUAUAUAAGCCAUUUGUAUGCAUUUUGUAAACCCUAAGUGAGUAAGGGGGUUUCCCUUCUCCUUCUCUAAUCUGAAACACUUUCUUAGUCUCUCUAGUCUCUCAUCCUGAAUCUCUAUACACGUUCUCAGUCUUGUUACUAAUCUCUUAAACACUUAGACACACAAACACUCAUCAAACUUCUUU
Molecule: long non-coding RNA, 490 nt
Filed under: Brassica napus (rape)
Lineage: Eukaryota; Viridiplantae; Streptophyta; Magnoliopsida; Brassicales; Brassicaceae
Description: long non-coding RNA (BNAP_LNC023150)
Source: RNAcentral